This 96-nucleotide small nuclear RNA is filed under the name Meriones unguiculatus (Mongolian gerbil). Lineage: Eukaryota; Metazoa; Chordata; Mammalia; Rodentia; Muridae. The record is from RNAcentral.
UUGUACCCUCUUCAGCACCACUAAAACUGGAGCAAUACAGAGAAGACUAGAACAGCUCCCGGGCAAGAAUAAUAUGCAAAUUUAUGAAGAUUUUAU